UAAUACGGGGGGAGCGAGCGUUGUUCGGAAUCACUGGGCGUAAAGGGCGUGUAGGCGGUUGGAUAAGUCAGAGGUGAAAUCCCAGGGCUUAACCUUGGAAUUGCCUUCGAUACUGUCCGACUAGAGGACGGAAGAGGAUAGUGGAAUUCCUGGUGUAGCGGUGAAAUGCGUAGAUAUCAGGAAGAACACCGGUGGCGAAGGCGGCUAUCUGGUCCGUUACUGACGCUGAUGCGCGAAAGCCAGGGGAGCAAACGGGAUUAGAUACCCCGGUAGUCCUGGCCGUAAACGAUGGGCACUGGGUGUAGGAGGUAUCGACCCCUCCUGUGCCGAAGCUAACGCAUUAAGUGCCCCGCCUGGGGAGUACGGUCGCAAGGCUG
RNAcentral lists this ribosomal RNA (377 nucleotides) under uncultured bacterium. RNAcentral describes it as "bacterial SSU rRNA". It matches the Rfam family "Bacterial small subunit ribosomal RNA", at positions 521 to 896 of the family's 1533-position model. The record is from RNAcentral.